AUCUUCCGCAAUGGACGAAAGUCUGACGGAGCAACGCCGCGUGAGUGAUGAAGGCCUUCGGGUCGUAAAGCUCUGUUGUUAGGGAAGAACAAGUACCGUUCAAAUAGGGCGGUACCAUGACGGUACCUAACCAGAAAGCCACGGCUAACUACGUGCCAGCAGCCGCGGUAAUACGUAGGUGGCAAGCGUUGUCCGGAAUUAUUGGGCGUAAAGGGCUCGCAGGCGGUUCCUUAAGUCUGAUGUGAAAGCCCACGGCUCAACCGUGGAGGGUCAUUGGAAACUGGGGAACUUGAGUACAGAAGAGGAGAGUGGAAUUCCACGUGUAGCGGUGAAAUGCGUAGAGAUGUGGAGGAACACCAGUGGCGAAGGCGACUCUCUGGUCUGUAACUGACGCUGAGGAGCGAAAGCGUGGGGAGCGAACAGGAUUAGAUACCCUGGUAGUCCACGCCGUAAACGAUGAGUGCUAAGUGUUAGAGGGUUUCCGCCCUUUAGUGCUGCAGCAAACGCAUUAAGCACUCCGCCUGGGGAGUACGGUCGCAAGACUGAAACUCAAAGGAAUUGACGGGGGCCCGCACAAGCGGUGGAGCAUGUGGUUUAAUUCGAAGCAACGCGAAGAACCUUACCAGGUCUUGACAUCCCAUGACAACUCUAGAGAUAGAGCGUUCCCCUUCGGGGGACAUGGUGACAGGUGGUGCAUGGUUGUCGUCAGCUCGUGUCGUGAGAUGUUGGGUUAAGUCCCGCAACGAGCGCAACCCUUGAUCUUAGUUGCCAGCAUUUAGUUGGGCACUCUAAGGUGACUGCCGGUGACAAACCGGAGGAAGGUGGGGAUGACGUCAAAUCAUCAUGCCCCUUAUGACCUGGGCUACACACGUGCUACAAUGGAUGGUACAAAGGGCUGCGAGACUGCGAAGUUAAGCGAAUCCCAUAAAACCAUUCUCAGUUCGGAUUGCAGGCUGCAACUCGCCUGCAUGAAGCUGGAAUCGCUAGUAAUCGUGGAUCAGCAUGCCACGGUGAAUACGUUCCCGGGCCUUGUACACACCGCCCGUCACACCACGAGAGUUUGUAACACCCGAAGUCGGUGGAGUAACCGUAAGGAGCU
RNAcentral lists this ribosomal RNA (1099 nucleotides) under Metabacillus galliciensis. Its description in RNAcentral is "bacterial SSU rRNA". It matches the Rfam family "Bacterial small subunit ribosomal RNA", at positions 361 to 1450 of the family's 1533-position model. Lineage: Bacteria; Bacillati; Bacillota; Bacilli; Caryophanales; Bacillaceae. The record is from RNAcentral.